AGCGAACGCUGGCGGCAGGCCUAACACAUGCAAGUCGAACGAACCUUUCGGGGUUAGUGGCGGACGGGUGAGUAACACGUGGGAACGUGCCUUUAGGUUCGGAAUAACUCAGGGAAACUUGUGCUAAUACCGAAUGUGCCCUUCGGGGGAAAGAUUUAUCGCCUUUAGAGCGGCCCGCGUCUGAUUAGCUAGUUGGUUGAGGUAAUGGCUCACCAAGGCGACGAUCAGUAGCUGGUCUGAGAGGAUGAUCAGCCACAUUGGGACUGAGACACGGCCCAAACUCCUACGGGAGGCAGCAGUGGGGAAUCUUGCGCAAUGGGCGAAAGCCUGACGCAGCCAUGCCGGGUGAAUGAUGAAGGUCUUAGGAUUGUAAAAUUCUUUAACCGGGGACGAUAAUGACGGUACCCGGAGAAGAAGCCCCGGCUAACUUCGUG
This 434-nucleotide ribosomal RNA is filed under the name uncultured bacterium. Its description in RNAcentral is "partial 16S ribosomal RNA". It matches the Rfam family "Bacterial small subunit ribosomal RNA", at positions 29 to 507 of the family's 1533-position model. The record is from RNAcentral.